CCCGAGACUAGAGUCACAUCCUGGCACUUCUAGUUGCCUUGGUGUGCUAGAGUACUCGGAGAGAAAGUACUGAUCUUUAUUCACUGGUUGGAUUUCAAUAUAGCUCAAUCAGUCACCGGCUCAGUAACAUGU
Non-coding RNA from Pelobates cultripes (western spadefoot toad), 132 nucleotides. NCBI's taxonomy places the organism in Eukaryota, Metazoa, Chordata, Amphibia, Anura, Pelobatidae. The record is from the annotation of a GenBank genome assembly.